Molecule: long non-coding RNA, 447 nt
Organism: Solanum pennellii
Lineage: Eukaryota; Viridiplantae; Streptophyta; Magnoliopsida; Solanales; Solanaceae
Exons: 2
Source: RefSeq, a predicted model, not a curated record
AUUAUUAUCAUUUGCCCACCUUUUACGUUUCCUUCCCCCACAUUUAACGUUUUUCAGUUCCGUUUUUUUUUUUUUCAUUUUCUCACCAAAUCCAGAAACACAAAUCACCGUUUGUUCAACAAAUAUCUGUUUUAAUUGAAGGAAUAUCUUGUUUGGAAAAGAUUUUCUGUUUGUUCAACAAAUCUCCAUCUUAAUUCAUGGAGUAUCUUGUGUUGGUAAAAGUAAUCUCGUGAAUGUACAUAAAUAUUUGACAAUGAAACACCUCCACAACAUAGCAAGAUUAACGUUGAUUUUGAGGACAUUAAUACGAUUCAAAUAGAUUAGUCAUUGUCUAUUUUUGUAUCUUCAGUAUUUUGGUUAAUAGACAUUGAUUUUGGUAGCAUUUUACUUUGUUAAGGAAGCUUCCAAUGUUAUGAUGUUCUGGUAAUUUUACAUUUAAAGUUUUGA